UUCAGAAAAGUUGUAAGAAUAUUACAAUAUAGUUCCUUGAUCAUAUAAACAAAGGUUGUCUGUUAAGUCCUUGGUGGAAAAUGGCCAUAAAAGGGUUAAAUACAGUUAGCUUCAUAUAGAAGUAGGAGGUAGGAAUUAGAAGCAGGUAGACUAGCAAAGAAAUCAGUGGAUUGCAUUAAUUGCUUAAGCCUUCCACUGUGGCUGAGAGUGACCACCACACUGUAGAGAAAAUAAUGAUUUGAUAUCUUAAGAGCCUUCAUCACCACAGUAUUCAUAAUGCUCAAAACUUACAGUUUAAUGCAGCUUUUCCGUUUGAGAUGUAGAAUGCUUGACAACUGUUUACCAAUACAAUUUUAUAUUUGCUUGACAUACAGAUACAUAUUUUUAACCUGAGAAUUUUCUUCUGUUCCAAGUUACCUUGUAAAUUCUGUAUAAGUACCUGCUUUGUUAAACACCCCUAAAUUUGCAUUUUGAUGCAUUACUGAUUUAUAUCAUGUCUGUUACCAUUAUACUGAGAGGGAAUGAUAUAUACAAGAGAUGAUAUAUAUACCAAAACACUUACUGCAUAUGCCCAGAACGUCAAUACACUGUUUUUGCCAAAAGAACCACCAAGUAUUAAAGAAAAAUAAAAACUAAGUGAAUUUUUAAGAGUCAAAUUAAGUUCAGAGUUACCAGUUACUUUUGGGAAUCUGACAACAUGCUUUUUUCCUUGCAAUCUGAGAUCAGAUUUUCUUUGAUAAUUAAGCAACUACAGAUGUAAGAAAACUUUGUUGGCAGUAACCCAAAGUAGGCCUGCAUAGUAUUCUAUCA
RNAcentral lists this long non-coding RNA (810 nucleotides) under Bos taurus (domestic cattle). Its description in RNAcentral is "long non-coding RNA NONBTAT024582". The record is from RNAcentral. Lineage: Eukaryota; Metazoa; Chordata; Mammalia; Artiodactyla; Bovidae.